Molecule: long non-coding RNA, 1014 nt
Filed under: Numida meleagris (helmeted guineafowl)
Lineage: Eukaryota; Metazoa; Chordata; Aves; Galliformes; Numididae
Description: lncRNA (ENSNMEG00000000263.1)
Source: RNAcentral
CCCAGUGCCCCCAGUCUCACCCCGUGCAGCAGCCGCAGGUUCCCGCUCACCUCCCCCUGGGGGGGGCCAGAGCCGAGACGCGGCACCGCCGCCAGCGCCCGCAGCUCCAGCAACACCUGGACACGGGGACAGCGUCACCAUCACCGUCACCGUCACCAUCACCGUCACCAUCACCAUCACCAUCACCAAGACUGUCACCGUCACCAUCACCGUCACCAUCACCGGCACCAACACCAGCACCGUCACCAUCACCAAGACUGUCACCAUCACCAUGACCGUCACCAUCACCGGCACCAACACCGUCACCAUCACUGUCACCAUCACCGUCACCAUCACCGUCACCAUCACUGUCACCAUCACCGUCACCAGCACCGUCACCAUCACCGGCACCAGCACCGUCACCAUCACCGUCACCAUCACCGUCACCAUCACCGGCACCAGCACCGUCACCAUCACCGUCACCAUCACCAAGACUGUCACCGUCACCAUCACCGUCACCAUCACCGUCACCAUCACCGUCACCAUCACCGUCACCAUCACUGUCACCAUCACCGUCACCAUCACCGUCACCAUCACCGUCACCAUCACUGUCACCAUCACCGUCACCAUCACCGUCACCAUCACCAAGACUGUCACCGUCACCAGCACCGUCACCAUCACCGUCACCAUCACCGGCACCAGCACCGUCACCAGCACCGUCACCAUCACCAAGACUGUCACCGUCACCAUCACCGUCACCAUCACCGUCACCAUCACUGGCACCAACACCGUCACCAUCACCGUCACCAGCACCGUCACCAUCACCGUCACCAUCACCAAGACUGUCACCGUCACCGUCACCGUCACCAUCACCGGCACCAGCACCGGCACCAGCACCGGCACCAGCACCGUCACUGUCACCAAUUCUUGUUGCCAUGGACACCGCCGUUGUCACCAUCACUGCUUGUCACCAUCACUAUCACAGCUACAACCGCUGUCACCGUCACUGUCACCCAGUGUCAGCUCCCAGUGUCA